GAUGAACGCUGGCGGCGUGCCUAAUACAUGCCAGUAGAACGCUGAAGGAAGGAGCUUGCUCUUUCCGGAUGAGUUGCGAACGGGUGAGUAACGCGUAGGUAACCUGCCUGGUAGCGGGGGAUAACUAUUGGAAACGAUAGCUAAUACCGCAUAACAGUAGAUGUUGCAUGAUAUCUACUUAAAAGGUGCAAUUGCACCACUACCAGAUGGACCUGCGUUGUAUUAGCUAGUUGGUGAGGUAACGGCUCACCAAGGCGACGAUACAUAGCCGACCUGAGAGGGUGAUCGGCCAAACUGGGACUGAGACACGGCCCAGAAUCCUACGGGAGGCAGCAGGAGGGAAUCAUCGGAAAUGGACGGAAGGCUGACCGAGCAACGCCGCGUGAGUGAAGAAGGGUUUCGAAUCGUAAAGCUCUGUUGUAAGAGAAGAACGAGUGUGAGAGUGGAAAGUUCACACUGUGACGGUAUCUUACCAGAAAGGGACGGCUAACUACGUG
RNAcentral lists this ribosomal RNA (497 nucleotides) under uncultured bacterium. Its description in RNAcentral is "partial 16S ribosomal RNA". It matches the Rfam family "Bacterial small subunit ribosomal RNA", at positions 28 to 507 of the family's 1533-position model. The record is from RNAcentral.